RNAcentral lists this long non-coding RNA (206 nucleotides) under Brachypodium distachyon (stiff brome). RNAcentral's name for it is "long non-coding RNA (BDIS_LNC004585)". Lineage: Eukaryota; Viridiplantae; Streptophyta; Magnoliopsida; Poales; Poaceae. The record is from RNAcentral.
CAAACACAACACCAGUGUAUAUGCGACAUGCCAAAUGGAACGCCCGAACUAUGUGGCCCCUGGAAGAGCUAUGAAACGAGUACUAAGCCGAGGGGGAACCCAUAUAUUCUCCCACGAGCGGUUAGCGCGAAGUUUCUUGGGUCGGUGAAAACGAGAACUCAGUCCUUAGGUCGGCGCCAAUGGAACAAAACACCAAUGCGUUAGCA